GAUGAACGCUGGCGGCGUGCUUAACACAUGCAAGUCGAACGGAAAGGCCCUGAUCUUGUGCGGUGCCCGGUUGGGGAAGGCGUGCGUAUCACGUGUGUAACAUCUCCUUGAUUUUCGGAGAACUUCAGGUAAAUGGGGCUAAAACAGCACAGGAGAUCCUGUUCCGCGGUGUGCGUUGGAAAGUCACGGCGUUUGGGUAUGGAAUCGCGGCUUAUCAGCUCGUUGGUGGGGUAGUGGCUUACCAAGGCUUUGACGGGUAGCCGGCCUGAGAGGGUGACCGGCACAUUGGGACUGAGAUACGGCCCAGACUCCUACGGGAGGCAGCAGUGGGAAGUAUUGCACAAUGGGCGGGAGCCUGAUGCAGCAACGCCGCGUGCGGGAUGACGGCCUUCGGGUUGUAAACCGCUUUCGCCUGUGACGAAGCGUGAGUGACGGUAAUGAGUAAAGAAGCACCGGCUAACUACGUG
RNAcentral lists this ribosomal RNA (467 nucleotides) under uncultured bacterium. RNAcentral describes it as "partial 16S ribosomal RNA". It matches the Rfam family "Bacterial small subunit ribosomal RNA", at positions 28 to 507 of the family's 1533-position model. The record is from RNAcentral.